CAGUAGCCGCGGGAAUACGGAGGGAGCUAGCGUUGUUCGGAAUUACUGGGCGUAAAGCGCGCGUAGGCGGUUACUCAAGUCAGAGGUGAAAGCCCGGGGCUCAACCCCGGAACUGCCUUUGAAACUAGAUGACUAGAAUCUUGGAGAGGUCAGUGGAAUUCCGAGUGUAGAGGUGAAAUUCGUAGAUAUUCGGAAGAACACCAGUGGCGAAGGCGACUGACUGGACAAGUAUUGACGCUGAGGUGCGAAAGCGUGGGGAGCAAACAGGAUUAGAUACCCGUGUAGUCCCUGUCUCUUAUAC
RNAcentral lists this ribosomal RNA (301 nucleotides) under uncultured bacterium. Its description in RNAcentral is "partial 16S ribosomal RNA". It matches the Rfam family "Bacterial small subunit ribosomal RNA", at positions 509 to 807 of the family's 1533-position model. The record is from RNAcentral.